This 279-nucleotide unclassified non-coding RNA is filed under the name Hevea brasiliensis (rubber tree). The record is from RNAcentral. Lineage: Eukaryota; Viridiplantae; Streptophyta; Magnoliopsida; Malpighiales; Euphorbiaceae.
GCCGAGUGCACUAGGAUAUGGAGAGACGUGUCUUCCUUUUGGGCACUACAAUUGAAAUACCAUGGGGCCCUCCAUCCAUACUGUUGUCUAAUUAGGACGUUAACAGGUCACUGAAAGUGAUGAUGCCACUGCUUACAGAUUCAAGUGCAUUCGUCCUCAUUCACCCUCCACCCACUUUAUACGAUCCCACAAUAACAAUUGCAAUGACGAUGGUCUUCAUUGUGGACCUCCUCUUCAUUAGGCCACUCUAUUACCGACUUGUUAGAUUAUGGCUUCGCU